Molecule: transfer RNA, 1252 nt
Filed under: Allorhizobium borbori
Lineage: Bacteria; Pseudomonadati; Pseudomonadota; Alphaproteobacteria; Hyphomicrobiales; Rhizobiaceae
Description: Rhizobium borbori partial contains 16S ribosomal RNA and 16S-23S ribosomal RNA intergenic spacer
Rfam family: tRNA (bases 407-480)
Source: RNAcentral
GGAUCAGCAUGCCCGAGUAUCCGUUCAAGACCUUGGACACACCUCCGCCCAGGUUCACCCCAUGGAGGUGGUUUAACGAGGCGUGCGCUACCCGCCAGGAGGCAGCGACCCCGUAGGUCCAGCGACUGGGUGAGUCGUACAAGGUAGCCCGYAAKGGGWMCYUUGCGGCUGGAUYACCCUUCCSUUUUCUAAGGAAGCUUGUGGAACUGGUAAGACGCUGAGACCUGUUCUCAGAUGAACCUUCCCGUGCUUUUUAGAACAUAGAUGGCACCCAGUCAGGUGACCAUCGCAACGUAAUACGCCGGCCACAUUGUUGUCCGGUAUGGCGGUUCUCGCCGUCCACGUUUCUCUUUCUUCAAAAGGAUAUCGAACCCCGCUUGAUUGCGGUCGUGUUCUACCAGGGAAUGGGCCCGUAGCUCAGGUGGUUAGAGCGCACGCCUGAUAAGCGUGAGGUCGGCAGUUCGAGUCUGCCCGGGCCCACCAUUCUGGUUAAGUCUGGUUGGGAUUUGGUGCUGACUGUCGAAACGGUUGGGGCUGUAGCUCAGCUGGGAGAGCACCUGCUUUGCAAGCAGGGGGUCAGCGGUUCGAUCCCGCUCAGCUCCACCAAUUCGACUGGUGUUGAGACGAGCGAAGAUAUCCUUUGAAGAAAAAUAGGUUUGCGCCUUUGAUCGCGAUUGCGAUUGGAUGGUGCCUGUUCUGCAAAAAUUGUGAAGAGAAGAUACGUCUGGAGGCUUCCAGGUGUUUGGGAUGAAAAUCCUGAACGUCCGGACCUUGGGCUCAUGAUCUUGUUUAGGAUUUAGUCGAUCCUGGAUGAGGGAGGUCCUUGGAGUGGAAGGAAGCCCUGUCUGAAAGGUAUCUGGUUGUUGGUGACGCAAGUUGCCUCUGGCCGGAUGCUGGAUUGAUGUUGCCUGACCGCGCAUCACCGGACGUUAUCUCGAAGAAGCUGGUCUUAUGAUCCCGGCCUUGAAGCUGCUCGGCGUAGCUUCCGAUUARGGACCGGGAUCAGACGCGUCGAUGGCAUUAUGAAUGUUCCGGKUGUUAAAGGUAGCCGGRACUGCAUCCCUUGUGGAUGCUAAAUGAUGAAGCAUUGGCCAAUGGAGAACGAUUAAGUGUCGUAAGGSMAUUUGGUGGAAUGCCUUUGSCAUGCAACAGGCCAAGAAGGGACGUGARYMCCSCCUGCCAUUAAGCCUGUGGGAAGCUGGCGAAUGAAGCUUUGGAUCCAUGGAAUUUCCGGAAUGGGGCCAACUCCGGA